RNAcentral lists this long non-coding RNA (463 nucleotides) under Carica papaya (papaya). RNAcentral describes it as "long non-coding RNA (CPAP_LNC001409)". Lineage: Eukaryota; Viridiplantae; Streptophyta; Magnoliopsida; Brassicales; Caricaceae. The record is from RNAcentral.
AAGAAUAAACCAACUAAAGUAAAUACUAGUAAUGAAUGCUAUAAAUAAAUCUAUGAAGUCCUUAGUCAUCUACUCGGCGUCUUCCUGUGGGAAGGGCUCAGAAACUAAGUCCUCCUGAUCUGAAAUAGUUAAGUAAGGAAUGAGCUACACUAGCCCAGUAAAGACAUCACACUAUCUCACUACCACAGGAGCAAAGGUUGGUAGAAAACAAAAACGACCAAUGGAGCAUAAUUUAUAACAAACUCAUUUAUCAAUAAUAAAAACCUUUACUGUCCACUUACCUCGGUGAGAUUCAUGAAGACAAUUUAUGAAACACAAUAACAUCAUAAACAUCAUAAAAUCAUGCAGACUCUGUAACAUAACACAUAUCAUACUCUCGUUUUUCAAUCAUCAGACAACAAUUUUCCUCUUUUAUCAGCCUACUAGUAUCCAUGAGGAUCCAUAGGGGGUCCCCGCUACACGU